AUAUAUAUAUAUAUAUAUGCCAUCAGUUUAAGAACAAUAAAAUAAACAAUUUACUUAGCAAAUGGUGAUAAUGUUUGUUAAUGAAAGAGAGUACGGGACAAAUUAACAUUUAAACCUUAAACUAGCAGCGCACGUCACUUUCUGAAUGAGGUGCGCGACGUGCGCGUGCCCGUCAUUUUGUAACGGUCAACUUCCAGCGGACGGACACGGAGGAAAGGUAAGUCCUAUAAAUCUACUUUUAUUCAUAGAUUUUAACUGAUAUAACGUUAAAUGCCAUCAAAGAGGAGUAGUGUUUUGUAUUUUUGUAGGUUUUCUCUUUCAAUUUAAUAAAUAAAUGCUCUGUUUGGUUAAUUAGCUCAAAAGCAGUCUCAGAGGUGGUCUAAGGUAACGGUAACUGUUAAAAUCGAAUAUAACCUUACCUAGUUUAAAUUAUUUGAAAUUUAUCACUAUAAACUAUACAGUGUUAACUUUCUAAUAAUUUAAUUUUUAACCGUAGUAACGUUAAUUAGUUUGUUUGAAUGCCUGCUGCUCGAGCUUGAUGAUGCUCAUGCUAUCCAUGCUGUGAACUUGAAUAUAAACCGAUAGAACGUUAAAUAUAAAGUUUAACGUUAAUUAGACCGAGGCUGCCGAAAUCAUGUUCAGUGUAACGUUAUGUGGGAUUAAUAAUUUCCCCUUUUCUCCCUCAAGUGGCAGGCUUGUAAAUUCUGUCAUCUGUUCAUUAUUGGUGUUGAUGGUGUUUUUCACAUGCAUGCUUUUUAAUGCUAGUUUAAUUCUCAAAUUGAUCUGAUACUUUCGUUCCACAAAAAGUAAACACAUUUUUCACUUUCUUAGGGCCUGACAACCACCAGUUGAGUCCAUGAUUCAGGGAAGAGACAGUCUGGGCAGCAGCAACAAGACAACUAUUACAAGUAGAGAUGGGUUUCAAGAACUGACACAACCACAUAUCCUCCAAAUCAUCUCUGCGUGGAUGGCAGCAAGGAUCCAGGAUCAAGAGAUCAUUCAUCAUGGAGACUGUUCCACAGGAAGCAGUUUCUCCUGGGUGAAAAACUAAACCUGGUUGUUUCAGCAUCACUCAGGCAAGACUUAAUACUUUUAAAUUGAUUUCAGUUGGUUAUGUGUUUCAGGUCAUCCUGACCAUUCUGCUGUUCUGGAUGUAAGGCCGUGCUGCAACUACAUUUCUCGUGGUUGAAAGAUUUGUGGAGCGGUAUCCAGACAUAUAACGCCCCAUCACACGGGGCGUCAACGCCUCUCGUUUACUUUUAAAUGAAGUGACGUCAAGCAUGGUGAAAUUAAUUCUAGAAAUUAAUUCUAAAUAGAAGUUGAAGACUUCUCAAGCGCCAAUGCAGCCGUCCUCCAGUCAGAACAUCCUAUGCAAAUACCCUAGCGCAGACGCAAGCCAAUCGAGUGCAUGCAAUACCAGAAAACUAAUGUGAUUGGCUGUCACUAUGAGAAGAGACAGUAAUUCUGAUCCGAUAUCAGUGUCGUUUUUUGCAAAAAAAAAUUUAAAUCAAUGUAGAAUUUUCUAUACUUCUGUGUAGGGAUGUCAAUUUUCAAUCAUUUCCAUGAUCGAUCGUUGUUUAAAUUAAUGAACAAAUAAUCGAUUAAUCGUUAACCUUAUAUAUAAUAUAAUAUAUAUAUAUAUAUAAAACUGUAAAUAUAUAUAUUUUACAGUAAAGACCAAAAGUUUGGACACACCUUCUCAUUCAAAGAGUUUUCUUUAUUUUCAUGACUAUGAAAAUUGUAGAGUCACACUGAAGGCAUCAAGGGCUAUUUGGCCAAGAAGGAGAGUGAUGAUGACCUGGCCUCCACAGUCACCGGACCUGAACCCAAUCCAGAUGGUUUAGGGGUGAGCUGGACCGCAGACAGAAGGACAAAGGGCCAACAAGUGCUAAGCAUCUCUCGGGGAACUCCUUCAAGACUGUUGGAAGACCAUUUCAGAUUUGAGGGAAAGAUUAAAAACAAGGAGGUCUGGGAAUGACUGAAGGGAUCUGACAGCAGUGAGGGAAGGAAGUUAUCACCAGAAUCCUUGGUGAGUAGAAGAGACUUCUCUUGAAAACCAUAAAGAAAAGAUUCCAGGAUGAAGAGGAGGAGGAAGAACACGUUUAACAAUUUUCUAUAAGCUUGCCAUUAGUUAUAAUAAAAACAAUGAACAUGACUACAAUAAUAUGCUAAAUGUUAUUAAAAGAUUCCAGUUUGCAAGAAGUCUGAGUGUCUGACUCUACACUAGAGGAACUCUUUUCUGAAGAAGAUCAGGUGCUGAGAAGAAGCCUUGUUCUACAGCAAAACACUGCAUCAAACCUCCUGUCCUUCCCUCAGAAGAGCCUGUCUUCUGCUGCUGGGGUAAGAAACACCCUCUUCCUCUUCUCUAUCAGCUGUCCAGCACCUAACUCUGCCUCCUCAGCACUGUCUGAAAGAGUCAUCUCCACAGUCAGUAAUCACAGAUUCUUCUGAGAAAGUCGAUAUGUUCAUUUUCUUAAAAAACUUUGUUUUUUCGGGUGGGACAAAUAAUACAGGAGAGAUGCUAGAAAUCUCUAUAUUGUUCAUUUUUCAUAUCUUUACGCUUUAUGAAUGUUUUUCUUCUGAGAAGCUCAAAAAUUAUGGUUCUUUGGUAAUUGCUUUAUUGUUUAGGUUUAUCCUCUGAUAGUGAGCACAGAGCCCUGAUCAUGACAUGCAAGAAAAAGAAAGAAAUCAUGUCCAUGAUUUACUAAUUCAUUCCCUCUAUGUACUAAAACGUGCACGAUUACUUUUACAUUUCAUUGAUUUGCUAAAUCGUAUGCACAAUUUACUAAUUCGUUCUCUUGAUGUAUAAAUAGUGUACACGUUUUAGCAAAUCGAGGGAAUGAAAUAUAAAAUCGUGCGCAUGAAUUAGCCUAAAUUUUUUCCUGCAUGUCGUGUAAUUAAAGCACAUCACCACCAGACAUUUAUACCAGGAGCCUCAUAUACGACGCUCACAGUUUUACUUUGUGCAGUAUCUCUGUGCAGUAUCUGCUGAAUUGUUUCAUAUCUAUUUAUCAUGUAUUUUUCGUUGCACUAAAUUAUGUUGUAUCAAUAAGUUUACUGAUAAUUAUUUUUAAUUUUCACUAAUAACGUCAUUAACCAUCUCCCCAUCUUUAAGACAAAAAUUCUCUAUUGUUUAUAUUGUGUAAUCUAUGAAUUGAUGUGUUUAGUUUUCUGUGCUCAUAACUUAGUAACAUUUUGCAUGGUUAAAGAACAGGUGCGAUGUUCAAAAUGUUUUUAUACAAAGUAGUGCUGAAUAAAUAUUGAUUUGUGAAUGAA
Molecule: long non-coding RNA, 3276 nt
Organism: Carassius gibelio (silver crucian carp)
Lineage: Eukaryota; Metazoa; Chordata; Actinopteri; Cypriniformes; Cyprinidae
Exons: 5
Source: RefSeq, a predicted model, not a curated record